GAUGAACGCUGGCGGCGUGCUUAACACAUGCAAGUCGAACGAUGAAGCCCAGCUUGCUGGGUGGAUUAGUGGCGAACGGGUGAGUAACACGUGAGUAACCUGCCCUUAACUCUGGGAUAAGCCUGGGAAACUGGGUCUAAUACCGGAUAGGAGCGUCCACCGCAUGGUGGGUGUUGGAAAGAUUUAUCGGUUUUGGAUGGACUCGCGGCCUAUCAGCUUGUUGGUGAGGUAAUGGCUCACCAAGGCGACGACGGGUAGCCGGCCUGAGAGGGUGACCGGCCACACUGGGACUGAGAAACGGCCCAGACUCCUACGGGAGGCAGCAGUGGGGAAUAUUGAACAAUGGGCGCAAGCCUGAUGCAGCGACGCCGCGUGAGGGAUGACGGCCUUCGGGUUGUAAACCUCUUUCAGUAGGGAAGAAGCGAAAGUGACGGUACCUGCAGAAGAAGCACCGGCUAACUACGUG
Molecule: ribosomal RNA, 466 nt
Filed under: uncultured bacterium
Lineage: Bacteria
Description: partial 16S ribosomal RNA
Rfam family: Bacterial small subunit ribosomal RNA
Source: RNAcentral